GUCGUCAGCUCGUGUCGUGAGAUGUUGGGUUAAGUCCCGCAACGAGCGCAACCCUCGCCCUUAGUUGCCAUCAUUCAGUUGGGCACUCUAAGGGGACUGCCGGUGAUAAGCCGAGAGGAAGGUGGGGAUGACGUCAAGUCCUCAUGGCCCUUACGGGCUGGGCUACACACGUGCUACAAUGGUGGUGACAGUGGGCAGCGAGACCGCGAGGUCGAGCUAAUCUCCAAAAGCCAUCUCAGUUCGGAUUGCACUCUGCAACUCGAGUGCAUGAAGUUGGAAUCGCUAGUAAUCGCGGAUCAGCAUGCCGCGGUGAAUACGUUCCCGGGCCUUGUACACACCGCCCGUCACACCAUGGGAGUUGGUUUUACCCGAAGGCGCUGUGCUAACCGCAAGGAGGCAGGCGACCACGGUAGGGUCAGCGACUGGGGUGAAGUCGUAACAAGGUAGCCGUAGGGGAACCUGCGGCUGGAUCACC
This 475-nucleotide ribosomal RNA is filed under the name Mesorhizobium sp. Its description in RNAcentral is "bacterial SSU rRNA". It matches the Rfam family "Bacterial small subunit ribosomal RNA", at positions 1051 to 1527 of the family's 1533-position model. The record is from RNAcentral. Lineage: Bacteria; Pseudomonadati; Pseudomonadota; Alphaproteobacteria; Hyphomicrobiales; Phyllobacteriaceae.